This 406-nucleotide ribosomal RNA is filed under the name uncultured bacterium. RNAcentral describes it as "partial 16S ribosomal RNA". It matches the Rfam family "Bacterial small subunit ribosomal RNA", at positions 30 to 526 of the family's 1533-position model. The record is from RNAcentral.
AUUGAACGCUGGCGGCAGGCCUAACACAUGCAAGUCGAACGAGUGGCGGACGGGUGAGUAAUGUCUGGGAAACUGCUCGAUGGAGGGGGAUACCUACUGGAAACGGUAGCUAAUACCGCAUACCAUCCGAUGUUCCCAGAUGGGAUUCGCUAGUAGGUGGGGUAACGGCUCACCUAGGCCACGAUCCCUAGCUGGUCUGAGAGGAUGACCAGCCACACUGGAACUGAGACACGGUCCAGACGCCUACGGGAGUGAGCGGUGGGGAAUAUUGCACAGUGGGCGCAAGCCUGAUGCAGCCAUGCCGCGUGUAUGAAGAAGGCCGUCGGGUUGUAAAGUACUUUCAGCGAGGAGGCGGUACUCGCAGAAGAAGCACCGGCUAACUCCGUGCCAGCAGCCGCGGGAAUUC